AGGGUGUAAACGCUGCAGACUUGGUGUUGGAAGCCCUUUGGGGGCAUUCAGUGCCGGAGAGAAGUUGUUAAGCCUGCUGCUUGGGGAGUACGUCCGCAAGGAUGAAACGUAAAGGAAUUGGCGGGGGAGGCACCGCAACGGGAGGAGCGUGCGGUUCAAUUGGAUUCAACGCCGGAAAUCUUACCGGGACCGACAGCAACAUGAAGGCCAGGCUGAAGACUUUGCCGGAUUAGCUGAGAGGAGGUGCAUGGCGUAGUCGUGU
RNAcentral lists this ribosomal RNA (262 nucleotides) under uncultured archaeon. RNAcentral's name for it is "partial 16S ribosomal RNA". It matches the Rfam family "Archaeal small subunit ribosomal RNA", at positions 748 to 1009 of the family's 1478-position model. The record is from RNAcentral.